RNAcentral lists this ribosomal RNA (520 nucleotides) under uncultured bacterium. Its description in RNAcentral is "bacterial SSU rRNA". It matches the Rfam family "Archaeal small subunit ribosomal RNA", at positions 345 to 866 of the family's 1478-position model. The record is from RNAcentral.
AACCUCCGCAAUGUGAGAAAUCGCGACGGGGGGAUCCCAAGUGCCAUUCUUAACGGGAUGGCUUUUCAUUAGUGUAAAGAGCUUUUGGAAUAAGAGCUGGGCAAGACCGGUGCCAGCCGCCGCGGUAACACCGCCAGCUCUAGUGGUAGCAGUUUUUAUUGGGCCUAAAGCGUCCGUAGCCGGUUUAAUAAGUCUCUGGUGAAAUCCUGUAGCUUAACUGUGGGAAUUGCUGGAGAUACUAUUAGACUUGAGAUCGGGAGAGGUUAGAGGUACUCCCAGGGUAGAGGUGAAAUUCUGUAAUCCUGGGAGGACCGCCUGUUGCGAAGGCUUCUAACUGGAACGAUUCUGACGGUGAGGGACGAAAGUUAGGGGCGCGAACCGGAUUAGAUACCCGGGUAGUCCCAACUGUAAACGAUGCGGACUUGGUGUUGGGGUGGCUUUGAGCUGCUCCAGUGCCGAAGGGAAGCUGUUAAGUCCGCCGCCUGGAAGUACGGUCGCAAGACUGAAACUUAAAGGAAUU